GGGGUUGUGGCUCAGUGGUGGAGUGCUCGCCUAGCAUGUGUGAGGCACUGGGUUUGAUCCUCAGCACCACA
Molecule: transfer RNA, 71 nt
Filed under: Marmota monax (woodchuck)
Lineage: Eukaryota; Metazoa; Chordata; Mammalia; Rodentia; Sciuridae
Description: tRNA.Ala
Source: RNAcentral